This is a non-coding RNA of Phrynosoma platyrhinos (Desert horned lizard), 72 nucleotides long. The record is from the annotation of a GenBank genome assembly. Lineage: Eukaryota; Metazoa; Chordata; Lepidosauria; Squamata; Phrynosomatidae.
GCCAGUGUGGCAUAGUGGUUUGAGUGCUGGACUACAACUCUGGAGACCAGGGUUUAAAUCCCAACUCAGCCA